ACCAGUGGCCGAUAGCACGUUGAUUACACGAGUUCUCAAUGGAGCACUGAAGUUAAGCAACGUUGCACGUGGUUGGUAUUUGAACCAUCUGAGCAAUCGCGUGCGGCUGGCU
This 112-nucleotide ribosomal RNA is filed under the name Diaphorina citri (Asian citrus psyllid). Lineage: Eukaryota; Metazoa; Arthropoda; Insecta; Hemiptera; Psyllidae. The record is from RNAcentral.